Durio zibethinus is the source of this 1407-nucleotide non-coding RNA. Lineage: Eukaryota; Viridiplantae; Streptophyta; Magnoliopsida; Malvales; Malvaceae. The record is from RefSeq and is a predicted model, not a curated record.
UUUUUUUUUUUUUUAAUUUAUAAUUUGGUGAUGGUGGUUAUACUCCUAUAUGCUAGAUGAAGAGCCUUGUAAGUCACUUGGAUCUCAUGAUUUUCGUCAACGCCUUCGCUUUUUUUUUUUGGUUCGUAGACAUAAGAAGAAAGAAAAAAUGCAAAAAACCAACCCUCGCCACAAGCGUCAGCUUUAAGAAGGGGGGUAAGACCAGCAGGUUGGCUGUCAAACCACUAGCAGAAGUGAUUCAAUUUUACUAGCACCAUUCGUAUUCAAAAUAAAAAGUACCCGAGGGAGGUCGUUACCACUGCAUUCACUUACGUCCUCUAGAUAUUUGAGUAGACAAACCAGACAUGGCACUCGCAAUAUCUAUAGCAAAGUCCCUAUCAUAUUUCACCAGUUAUAGCGUGGUAGUAGAUUUCCAUCAUUUUAUGUGCUGCUUAAAGUACAGUGGAUAGCUCCUAGUUGACAUAAAUUCAUAGUAGAGCAUCAUUUGCUCUCGAUUUGGCGUUUGCACGAAUGAAGAAUCAAGAAUCAAAAGCCUUCAAAAUGGAAUCAAAAGCCUCGUACACCAAAAUUUUUCUGCAUUUCCCCUUUAUUUAAAGGAUCCAUAUACAUGGGAGCUACAGGCCCAGACCAAUGAACGGAUUACGCGUUGGCACACCUAAGCUCCCAUCCCAUCCCAUCCCAAUGCUUAGGAGGGGCGUUCCUGUAAUUUCAUCAUUUCCUCACCCGGGUCCACAGCGUCGAUCGUUCAAUAGAAAAACAAUGUUGGUCAAAAUCUUAUGACGACGUGAAUUCACAAGGGAACUGAAGCAAGGAAAAAAGCGUAUAUCGGACGACCAAUCAGUGAUUGCAACAUUUGCUUUCAUCUUCGUCUUCCUCACAGUCUUAGCCGAUUACAUCACCAAUGAUUCCCAGGUUAAACGUAGCAGAACUUGCAUUGCUGAAAGUGGAAUGAAGGUAUUGGAAUCCGAUACCGGAAAUAUUGCGGGGUACGAAGCUUGAUGAACUCAAAUAAACUUGAUUGGAUUGCCCUUUUACUGUAGAUUUAUAAUUUAUUAAUUCCAUUCGAUUGGCUAUGAAAAAUAAGAGUUUUUUUUUUCUUUACGUUUUGUCAAAAUCAGCAUCAAACAGCUCCUCCUGUAUAGGCUAAAGAAUUAGAGAUUUCCGAUUGGUGUUCGGAUAUUAGCCCAACUGCCAACUUAACUACCUAAAACUGACCUAUCACCAUUUACUUCAGCCCAACUACAUGGUGGACCCUUGAAAGUUACAUCUCACUUGCUCCUGCCGGGUGCCAAUUUUUUAAUACAAUGCCAUUUUGCAGCGUUAUUGAAUAGCAUAAGAUUUAGAACUAUAACGAACUGAAAACUUCUGUAAGUCUGUAAAACAAAACGAUAUUGGCUUCUUCUUCCC